UUAGUUUCCCAGCUAUACCCUAUUUUCACCCCAACAAUUUCAUUUCCCUCCUUUCCCAAAUUGAUUUACCCAAACUAUUUCAAUUUCCCGCUUCCCCAGAUCGACCCUUCACUAAAAAAAAUUCAUUCUCCCGCUAUCCCUGUCCCCAAACCCUAGUCGUUUUCACCUUAUUGCUCAAAUUUAAACUCAAAAUCAAGAUUGAGGAGAUAAUCAAUUAAAUUGUCUCACAUUCUUUUUCUAAAUCUGUUGUUUUUCGAUUCAAUAUCUAAUCUAAUCAAUCUUGUGCUUCCUUCGAUUACAGAUUUUGUUGUGGCGAGAGGAUGAACAAUCAUAGUAGAAGCAACAGGAACACAGGCACUGGUCCACCCACUCAAUCGGUCCUUAAUAGUAUGUUGAAGCCUUGAGAUUCUUCUUUCAUGACUAUGUUGGUUCAUAACUUAUGCCUUAAAAGUGGACCCAACCUAGGUCAGUCCUACUCUCAACUUUUGUCACAAUUCCGGCAAUUAUGAAUCAAAACUACUAUAUUAUCAGACCUUCAAUACCCUUUUUGUGCUAUGUCGAUUUGAAACUUAUGCACUUACUUAAACUAUAUAUGUUUUUUGCUUUGAUAUCAUACUUUGUUAAAAGUGAGAACCUGAGGUUUUCUAUUUGAUGGCUUGGCAAUCUGAUUAUAUAGGUUCUAAAGCAUCAAAGAUUCGUAUUCUAUGUGAUUUUAAACAGCCUGACCCCGCCUGGUAAGCACAGCAUUUGGGUGAGGGGUCGGGUUGGGUGAGGCCAAAGCACUACUUUGUUGUUGUUGUUGUUGUUGUUGUUUUUACAAAAUUAACAUAAUAAUUAGGAUGGUUCGAUAUGUGUGGGGGGGGGGUCAAUGAGGGUGCUGGCGCUGAUGAAAGAUCUAUCUUAGUGAGGACAAUGGUAGAAAGCAAAGCAAGCAAAAAUGUGCUUCGCGAAUUUUACCUACUUGGGUACGAGUUAUACCAUGAGUUGCUGUGUGGGGUUUUGUUAUCAUUUGCAAAGGGGCGCACAAAUAACCGUUAUAGUUUCUUCAUAUAGUAAGAUGCUAAUUUACGUGCCACUGAAUUCGCUGACGACAACGUAGUUGCGACACCUGGCAUUCAAAUGGUUGAAGUGACUGCACCUGCAUCAACUAAAAUUACACUGAAGUUGUUGCAGCAAUUUCUUUAUUUUGUGAACAUCUUGCAGCGUUAAUACGAACAACGAAGGUUAUCAAAGGUAAAAAACAAGUUCCUUAUCAAAAAACCAUGCUUGGUAUGCUUACAAUUAAGAAAGAUUAGUAUGUAUAUGAACAAAUGAAGAACUACAAAAACCUUCAGAAGAUGGAAAUGCUUUGGUCUAUCCUUUUGCGGUUGUAAUGAACAAGGAGUUUGAUCGUCACGUUCGACUUUAUAGCAAAGGUUUUGCUAAAAGAUGAUGAAAAUAUGGAUGGUGGUGAGGAAGCAUACACGAUUCUAGGUGGGAUUUUAUCAUGGCGGAGAGGAACCAUACAUGAUGGUUACAUUCGACUUAUAUCAUUGAAACACCAAAGCGCCAACCAGCAAAAUUUGAAGCUAUGAUGUAGAGUAUUAUUGAAAAGCUAUUUGUUGACUAGUUUAGGAUCUUAGAUGCCAAUGAGGUUUUCGUUACCUUUUAUCAUUGUAAUUGACAAUGUUAUUUUGAUUACAUUGUUAUUUUAAGUUUGGACAUGUGUUCAUGUUA
Helianthus annuus (common sunflower) is the source of this 1716-nucleotide long non-coding RNA. RefSeq lists it as uncharacterized. The transcript is spliced from 4 exons. The record is from RefSeq and is a predicted model, not a curated record. Lineage: Eukaryota; Viridiplantae; Streptophyta; Magnoliopsida; Asterales; Asteraceae.